This 221-nucleotide ribosomal RNA is filed under the name uncultured bacterium. Its description in RNAcentral is "partial 16S ribosomal RNA". It matches the Rfam family "Bacterial small subunit ribosomal RNA", at positions 547 to 765 of the family's 1533-position model. The record is from RNAcentral.
UGGGAUUUACUGGGUGUAAAGGGAGCGCAGGCGGAGCGGCAAGUCUGAUGUGAAAGCCCGGGGCUCAACCCCGGUACUGCAUUGGAAACUGUCGUACUAGAGUGUCGGAGGGGUAAGUGGAAUUCCUAGUGUAGCGGUGAAAUGCGUAGAUAUUAGGAGGAACACCAGUGGCGAAGGCGGCUUACUGGACGAUAACUGACGCUGAGGCUCGAAAGCGUGGG